CGAAGCCUGUUGUCUGUGGAGCAGUUAGGUGUGGGGAUAUCCCUCAGGUACAUCUCCCUAUAGAGAUCGCUCAGUCAGGCAUUCAUCCAAUCUACUCCUGCACCGCUCAUUACGUCGAGAUGUUGCUCAAGGCAGAGGUUCCUCUGGUUUUUUCUGCCUUCAGGAUGUCUGACUUCACUCCCUCUCAGAAGGAACCAAUCCACGGCUUCAGGGUGAGUAAUUACCUGGAGUACAUGGAGGGGCUGGAGGGCAACUACAGAUCCAUGGUGCUCUCGGACAUGAGGAGCAUCUUACCAAGGAGCAGCUAGAAGGAAACAGACCACUGAAGAUCAGCAGGGACUGAAAGUGCUUGUGGUACAGAAUGAGACUGAACAUGUUGCAUGGAUUUAAAGCUGUUUUUAUUACACAACAUGCUCAAUAAGGGCACUGUUUUAUCAAACACUAUGUGUUUUCCCCCUUUGCUUUCAUUCUCUUUUAUUUAUUUUUUUGGAUUCUAAUACCGUACUAUAGUAUUCUCACUUAGGGAAUCAUAAAUAUGAGAACACAAGCUCUUCAAAGUAGAGGGUGACACGGGAGUGGAUUUUCAAAUCUUUCCCGUCCCACUCCCGCAAAAAAAAAUUCCGUCCCAUACCAAUCCCGCAAAAAAAAAAAAAAAAAAACGGGGAGAAAAUCCCAUCCCAUUCAAUCCCGGAAGAAUGAAUCCCGUUCCCGCCCACUCCCAGGUUGUAUAUUUUUUGGCUGGAAUCUGUCAGUUACAGUAAAAAAAUAAAUAAAUAAAAAAUACAGUAGGCUACAGAUCACAGCAUCACAGCAACUUUAGUAAAAUAAAAAAAUUAAAUGUGUUUUUUGCAGAUGCAGAUUGCAGAUUUUUCUACGGGUUCAAGUUGGUUACACAAGUUUGUUGACCAAUGGAAAGCUGCUUUUUUUUUUUUUUUUUAUGUGACUUCUGUAUGAGAUGUGCACUGAACACUGAGAAUAGACAGUAGUCCAAAAUUUCUAGAAUGCUGGCCCCAUAUGUAGGUUCAUGAGUCAUUUUGCAGUCUCAGACUGCUAUAUGACAUCAGUACGUAAGAAAAAUUUCCAUGCUUUUGAAUGCUUGAUUGCUGUCUUAAUGAGCAAUCGAACAUGAAGUACGUGGGAUCUAGCAUGUCAACACUUGAAUAUACAAUGACUCACAUGCUGUUGACGUAGUCUUGUUGUGUAGUGCAUGUUGCCAUUUUUUUCUAUAGGCAUAUAUUAACAUCUGCAGUCUCUCGUUCACAUCCUAAGGAAGCUGUACAGAGAGGCGUUAUCACGUUGACAGGCCGUCAUUAGCACAUAGAUGCAAUCUCUCACCCUCGCCAUCUGUAACUCACACAGUGAAUAAUGAAUUAGAUCAUUAGAGAGGUGUCUUUCUCCUUCACAACAACUGCUAAAUAUUGCAUACUGUUUACUCAGUAGGAGGCAGAAGGAGUUAUAAUUUAAGUUUUAAAAAGUUCCUUGGAGAAAGUAAGUAAAAAUAUAUGCACUCUUUUUUACAUUGCAUUAAAAAAAUAAAAAUUGUCACCCAUAAAGCAUAUGCUGAUGCUCAGAUAAAAAAUACUGUUUCAGUUUUGUGUGAUCAGUUGAUUUUAUCUUUGUGUAAUCAUAACGAGCUGUACACAUUAAUCAGGUUAAUGAUUUAAUGACUGAUUGUUGGCCAACAGUCAUCUGGAAAGCCAAUCUUGUGUUGGCUCAUUGUAAAUUGACAAUACAAGGCUUUUGUGGCAUGGAUGUUGAUGAUGUAUCCGCGGACCAAAAUGGUAGGAUAAUUAGAAAAGGAUAAUUAUGCCUAAUUAAACUGAUUAACUGAUAAUUAAGACAUAUCUGUCUCUGUAUUAGGCUUGAGGAGUUGCAUUAGCUUGAUUUUCUCUGGUAAAUAUGCUUUAUUAUUGUCCUCCACAUUAAUUAUCCCUGUUAUGACUGCCAAAUUCCACUUCUAGAAUCUGCUUGAUGAAUGGGCGAAUGUCAUUUGAAAGUGAGCAUCACUGUCCCUCUUCUCACUCUGAGAAGCACUUGAAAUGAGUAAUCUGAUUUGUGUAGGGCAUUAAGGGCCGUUCACACCAAGGACAAUAACAGUAAACUUUUAAUAAUUGUUUGAAUUCUAUAAGAAUAGUGAAGUCCACGCCACAUAUAAUGACACAAAAGAACUAUAUCAUUGGAAUAAAUUUCAGAACAAUUUUCUUUUUUUUUUCAGCUGAUGAACAAUAAAAAUUUGACAGCCACUCGAAUCCAACCAAUUUAAAGCUGCAGUAGGUAACUUUUGUAAAAAUAUAUUUUUUACAUAUUUGUUAAACCUGUCA
Carassius auratus (goldfish) is the source of this 2321-nucleotide long non-coding RNA. RefSeq lists it as uncharacterized. The transcript is spliced from 3 exons. The record is from RefSeq and is a predicted model, not a curated record. Lineage: Eukaryota; Metazoa; Chordata; Actinopteri; Cypriniformes; Cyprinidae.